RNAcentral lists this ribosomal RNA (253 nucleotides) under uncultured bacterium. Its description in RNAcentral is "partial 16S ribosomal RNA". It matches the Rfam family "Bacterial small subunit ribosomal RNA", at positions 524 to 776 of the family's 1533-position model. The record is from RNAcentral.
GACGAAGGGGGCUAGCGUUGUUCGGAAUUACUGGGCGUAAAGCGCGUGUAGGCGGUUAUCCAAGUCGGGUGUGAGAGCCUUGAGCUCAACUCAAGAAAUGCACUCGGUACUGGGUGACUAGAGGACCGGAGAGGAUAGUGGAAUUCCCAGUGUAGUGGUGAAAUACGUAGAGAUUGGGAAGAACACCAGUGGCGAAGGCGGCUAUCUGGACGGUUUCUGACGCUAAGACGCGAAAGCGUGGGGAGCAAACAGG